Molecule: ribosomal RNA, 254 nt
Filed under: uncultured bacterium
Lineage: Bacteria
Description: partial 16S ribosomal RNA
Rfam family: Bacterial small subunit ribosomal RNA
Source: RNAcentral
UACGUAGGGACCGAGCGUUGUCCGGAAUCAUUGGGCGUAAAGAGCGUGUAGGCGGCCUUUUAAGUCCUGCGUGAAAUCCUGCGGCUCAACCGCAGACGGUCGUGGGAAACUGGAAGGCUAGAGUGCGGGAGAGGAGAGUGGAAUUCCCGGUGUAGCGGUGAAAUGCGCAGAUAUCGGGAAGAACACCCGUGGCGAAGGCGGCUCUCUGGGACGGUACUGACGCUGAUGCGCGACAGCGUGGGGAGCAAACAGGG